This 312-nucleotide ribosomal RNA is filed under the name Vatellus haagi. RNAcentral's name for it is "partial 12S ribosomal RNA". Lineage: Eukaryota; Metazoa; Arthropoda; Insecta; Coleoptera; Dytiscidae. The record is from RNAcentral.
UUUAAAUGUAAAAUUUUUUAUAAGUAGUAUUAGUUAAGUUCUUGAAAUUUAAAAAUUUUGGCGGUAUUUUAGUCUUUUCAGAGGAACCUGUUCUGUAAUUGAUAGUCCACGAUUAAUUAUACUUUAUUUAAAAAUUUGUAUAUCGUCGUUAUUAAGUAUUUUAUAAGAAUUAAAAUAUUUAAGAUUUUUAAUAAUAAAAUAUUUCAGAUCAAGGUGCAGUUUAUAGUAAAGUAGAAAUGGGUUACAAUAAAUUUAUUUAUAAUGGAAUUAAAUAUGAAAAUUUUAAUAAAGGAGGAUUUGUAAGUAAUAAAA